Molecule: long non-coding RNA, 1344 nt
Filed under: Anas platyrhynchos platyrhynchos (common mallard)
Lineage: Eukaryota; Metazoa; Chordata; Aves; Anseriformes; Anatidae
Description: lncRNA (ENSAPLG00000024809.1)
Source: RNAcentral
AUGGGGGCAAGGGGCAGGGUGCCCUCCCGCUGCUCCUGCCCUCACCCCGCUCUGAACACCGCAGGGAGCCACAAUUUUGGGGGGUGUCAGAGCAGGAGAGGGAGCAGGGAGGGGAUGGCUUUAAACUGCGAGGAGUGCCAGCCUCCCUCCACGUCCCAGGCUGCCUGCUUGGAAAAAUACCCCGGUUAUAGGCAGAGAUAUAAAAAAAAAUAUAUAUAUAGCAGCAGGCAGCGCGGGAGCUGGACUCGGGCUUGUCCGCCCACUGCCCGGCACCGCUCCAGGACUGCCGAGGGAGCCCCCAUCCCAUCCCGUCACCCCCUUCCCACCCCAAAACCCCGUUCCUGCCGGCUUCCCCCCUUCCCCGUCCCAGAACAAAGUGAGAAGCCGGCGGAGCCUCUGCCUCUCCUCCUGCGGGGAGAGGAAGAUUUGGGGCACUCGGUGGUUUUUGGGAAGGUUUGGAAAGGCUUCCCGGCCGCCCACAGCUCCUUCCAACCCUUGUGGAGACCACCCCAAACAUCUCCUCUCCCUCUUCGGAGAGUGUCCCCGUGGGGUGUGUGCGAGAAGGAGGGGUUGGGGAGGGUGAGGGGGGGGGGGGGGGGGGGGGGGGGGGGGAAGAGAGAGAAGAGGCUGCUUUCGGCAGCUCCAGCCAACGAGACAUCUGGAUUAUUUCCCCCCCAUCCUCCCUCCCUCGCUGGUUUCCGUUCUUCCCAGCGAGCGGAGCAGCCCCGGCCAUUGCUGGCGAGUGGAAAACCAGUGGAAACCAGCUCGGCUUCGGGGCGGGGGGGGACACGGGGGAGGGAGGAGGAAGAGAGAAGGGAAGGUGGGCAGACGGAUGGACGGACAGAUGGACGGACAGGGGUCCCCUCGCCUCGUGGAGGAAAGGAGAGCGUGGGUCAGCCUUUGCCCCCUAAUCACGAGCUCGGAGCAGCACACUUGGGCAGAGGGAGGGCAGAGACACAGCGGGGGCAAAGGAGAGGAGGAAAAAGGGCUGGCACCAUCCACCCCCUUCCCUGGGAGCAGCGGGGAAGAGCUGAGGGUCCCCAUGGGGGUCCGCAGGGCAGCCCAGGCCUAUGGGGCUGGCGGAUUCCUCCCCUCCCAGCCCUAUGCCUUGUGCCAAGGGGGGGAUCCUGCCCCCACGCCGUGCUCCCACCCCAAAUCCGCCACGUGCCCAGCGUGUCCCAGCCUCGAGGCUUUGCAGAGACACGAGCAGAGAGAGGCAGGGGCUGGGGGGUGGCAGGAAGCGAGGCUGCCAGCGUCCUGUGGCCCGGCCACUGCCACCAAGGGGAGGCAGCCAAUGCUGGCGGCCUCCGGGGGGGAGGUUUGUUUUCCCUUCCCAGGCAUUAA